CAAUAGCGUAUAUUAAAGUUGUUGCAGUUAAAAAGCUCGUAGUUGGAUUUCUGGUGGGAGCGAUCGGUCUGGCGCUUAGCGCGAGUACUUGCAUCGUCUCCGGCCAUCCUUGGGGAGAGUCUGUCUGGCAUUAGGUUGUCGGGCAGAGGAUCCUCAUCGUUUACUGUGAAAAAAUUAGAGUGUUCAAAGCAGGCUAAUGCCGUUGAAUAUAUUAGCAUGGAAUAAUAAGAUAGGACUUUGGUACUAUUUUGUUGGUUUGCGCACCAAAGUAAUGAUUAAUAGGGACAGUUGGGGGUAUUCGUAUUCCGUUGUCAGAGGUGAAAUUCUUGGAUUUACGGAAGACGAACUACUGCGAAAGCAUUUACCAAGGAUGUUUUCAUUAA
This 383-nucleotide ribosomal RNA is filed under the name uncultured eukaryote. Its description in RNAcentral is "partial 18S ribosomal RNA". It matches the Rfam family "Eukaryotic small subunit ribosomal RNA", at positions 592 to 976 of the family's 1831-position model. The record is from RNAcentral.